GUUCUUAUAGAUUAAGUAAUUAAAUUGUGAGGCUGUUAACUUCAAGAUGUGCUUUAGCACUGGGGACG
This 68-nucleotide transfer RNA is filed under the name Microcotyle sebastis. Its description in RNAcentral is "tRNA-Asn". The record is from RNAcentral. Lineage: Eukaryota; Metazoa; Platyhelminthes; Monogenea; Mazocraeidea; Microcotylidae.